GAAAUUUCAGGGUUAAACAUGUCAGAGUUGAUUUCAACUCUCAAAGUGUCAUUUUAACACAUUCUGAUUAAAAUGGUGUUCAGUGUUGGAGUUAUUUAACAGAGUUAUUCCAACCUAAGCAAAUCAACUCUGUAGAGAUGUAAAGUGCAUCUCGGCCGAGUUAACUUGCUUGAUAGGCCCCUGGGCUUCAGUCCAGGUAACCCCAUGUGUUAUGCCCCUGGGCUUUCAGCAGGGUGAACCCGUGCAUCAAUCAAUAGUCUCCUGUGCGUGGCGUGGUCAACCGUCGUUUAUUUCGCUGCUGGAAUCAGGAAUGGAUGCGGAGUUGGACUUUUACACGAGAGAAAAAUGUUGAUCCAGGUUCGGUAUUGCCAACAGCAGAAGUAUGUGAAGUUGGAUGAGGUUGAUGGAUGUUUUGAUUUUGUGCAGUUCCAUGACAAAGAAUUUUCCGAUUGCUCCUUGUCCUCUCCAUCCGAUUAUUCUGAUUCAAGCUUCAGUUCAUGUGCAAGUACAUCAACUAUACUCCUAGAUGAGGUUCCUAGGAAGAAACCAAGACUUGAGGGCCCACUUACUGCAGCAUCUGCUAGAAAGUUGAUUGAAGAUGUCCUUGGUACCAGCUCAGGUGGUGAAGAGGUCCUCCAAGAGUAUCACACAACAAAAACUCUAACAGAUGCUACCAGAAGAAAGUUGGUCAAUAUAAUAGUGGCACACAUGAUUGAUAAACACGGGCAACUCCCCAGCAAAGCUGUUCGAGAAGAGUACGCUCUUGGGAUAGUGACAGUGUUCCCGUCCCUCAAAGACCCAUACUCCAAGAAAGGCUAUGAACAUUUCUAUGAUGCUGCAAGCAGCACCGGAUACAUUUCUUGGCGUCUGAAAACGAUUCAGAGAAAGAUUCGAAGAGGACAUGCAUCUACAAGUAGCCCCACUGGCUUUUCCCCAGGAGGAGGUCAGUCUAUCUAUCUAUCU
Syngnathus typhle (broad-nosed pipefish) is the source of this 963-nucleotide long non-coding RNA. RefSeq lists it as uncharacterized. The record is from RefSeq and is a predicted model, not a curated record. The transcript is spliced from 6 exons. NCBI's taxonomy places the organism in Eukaryota, Metazoa, Chordata, Actinopteri, Syngnathiformes, Syngnathidae.